Non-coding RNA from Ciona intestinalis (vase tunicate), 3236 nucleotides. NCBI's taxonomy places the organism in Eukaryota, Metazoa, Chordata, Ascidiacea, Phlebobranchia, Cionidae. The record is from RefSeq and is a predicted model, not a curated record.
ACGUUCUAAAAACAAAGAAUAACAAACGAAAUUAAUAUGCUACUUUCUUGGAUUCGCCCUUCACGCGCCUACAGUGAAAACUAAGUUUUCACGAGCGUAACUGUCAUUGCGGCAUGACCUCACGCUGGGCGCUCAGCUUGAACAGGUAGGGCAUUCUGCCCCUUUUCCCUGCUGUGUAAAUAAGCAGUUCAAAAACCGUAAAAUAAUCUCUAUGUCUGCUGUACAUAGAACGACGACAAUGAGAAUAUCCUUUCUUUCCUGUUUAAAACACUUCUGCGAAAACCUUCGUGCUAAUUUAGUUCGUCUUAGUUCAUUGCCAUGAAGGCAUCUACUUAGUUGCCAAGAGUAACAGGCGCGCGGCAUUUUGUGAAACUGUCCUCCGUUUGUGGCAAGCAGAUAACUUCCCUGGUUCAUGCUUGACUGCUCCAUAAAAGAGCGGGCAAGGAGUGGUGUUUGUAGACCGCUAUCUCCAGCGGCGCGCACACACACAAGAGUAUGCGCGAAGUUAUAAGGCGUCUUAAGAGCGUGCCAUAAACGGCGGUGCGGCUACGCAAACAGAAAGAAGCGCGAGCGAACUGCGAGCAAGUACUCAACCGUGUCCACUACGAUUACCUAACUUAUCUGCCUUCGUUAAAAGAGGUCAAUGACUAAUACUGAAGUGACGAUCAAAAUGCUCGACGAAUUUCGCAAGAAUACGGAACGUUGUUGUAAAACAUCGGCACCUUAAGAUUUGGAAACACGCGAGCGUUUUAUAACACCGGAAACCAGGUGGAAAGUUGGGUAAUAAAACGACUCCAGUAUCUCACUUUUCAGAAAUAGUAAGCCCUUUAUAAAAAUAACUAAAAAUGGUCCAAAUACAACAUGAAAAAUCAAUAAAAUUUAAAUGAAUUAUACUAUUGCAGUAGAUGUAAAAUAUAUUGCAGUACAAACAUUUAAAGAUUGUAUAUUAACCCUGGAAAAUGUGACACUAGACCAAUAAGCUUAAGACUUAUGCCUAUUCACUAUUCAAAUGCUGUUCUGGGAAAUGGUUUAAUUCAGUGACAAUUAAUCUAUUACCAUAGAAACAUACAUAGCAAAUUUUUUAAAAUAUAUCCUGCUACUGUUUCUCCUCACCUACUUUUUGAUACCUGUUUGAGGUAUGGUAAUGUAUGUAAAUACAACACUUAAGGAGAAAUUAACAGAUUAAGGCAUGCGUAUGUAUGUGUGUGGGAUAGAAUGUAAAGUAACUCAUGAAAAAUUCCCAAAGUUAGUGCCAAAGUUUUUUUUGAAUUUUACACAAAAUCACAUUGCAAAGUAAAUUGCAGUUUUGCAAAAUACAGUUACAUUGAUAGUUGUAAAACCUAGGCAACCUUGAUUAGUGUGUUAAUUGCAAUAUACUUUGGCUCUGCUCAUGUGUAUAGACACCUAAAGGCAGGAUAACACGCCUUAAUGUCUUAAACUAGGGUUCCAAAACAUAUCAUGUCAUCUGUUUUGAAAGUUGGGAAAAAAAGUCAAUCUAGGCCUUAUUAAUGUUCUGCCUAUGAAAACUGCUCAUCUGUAUCAUAAUAACAAUAAGCCUCUGGCCUUCUAUAUAAACAUAUAAGGGGGUACAAUGAGAUAAGCCAGACACAGCGAUUCAGAUUGUUUGUAUGGAUGUAUCAACAUAUUCAAGUAAUAUAUUUUCUCUUCAACAAUUUCCUUGUGGUGAUUAAUAAACUUCUUUGUACUUGUUGAAUCUUUUGUUAAAUAUCCAAUGUAAGUGAGUGCUCAAUAACUUUAUAGACAAAUUGAAUUUAAGAAUACUGUCAUGUGUCACGAACACUUGAAAUCAAGGUAUAACGGAUAAACAACGUCCGGCGCCGUGGAGUGGUUAGCAAGGCUGCCUCCAAUGGAGGAAGACCAGUUCAAGGCAGAAACGUUGACGUGGAGUUCACCAAUUUUACACAAAGUACCGAAUAUAUUAUAUUAUUAAUCGCAAAGGGCACCGAAAAAUUUAAGGUGAUUAAAAGGAAUUACAAACAUAAAGUUUGGAAAUACAACGAAAAAAGGAAAACUUGCACAAAACUAACUCAUUAAAUUCUUGUUUAAAACUAUGUUUGCUUGCGUUACCAGAUGGCAAUAAAAAUUCUUUGUAUAUCUGGCUUAUUUUUCAAUUGUUAAUCAUCUAACAACUAGAUUUGCCAAUCUUUCAGCACAUAUUAGAUUCAUAUAGCGUCUUAAUUAGCAAAUCAUGCAUAUACACCAAACAAAAACACAACAUCACUACAAUGUUUAAUGAAAUUACAAUUAUAAACACAUUGUUUUAAAUUAAGAAGGCAGUAGGCAAAUAAAUAAAGAUAUAAGGUAGCUAACAUAGCUUAUGUAACAGUAUUACCUGCCUUGCCCACAAUUCUGUAACUGGUAUUUCAAUUUGCAACCUAGUGUUAUAAAUAUGUAAAGUUGCUAUGCAUAAUAUUGGCCUUGUAUGUUGUAUAUACCGAUUUUUUAGUAUGCUAUUAGUCCUCUGUAUUAAACUGAUUAAACCGUUUACACUUUGGCUUUUACAUUUGAACCAAGAUAUAUUAAGUUAGUACAUUGUCAUCACAUUGCCAAACCAUAUAUAUUCACAGUUUGUGUUUUACAAUUCUAUUUUGAAUGAUUAGCCUAUUAUUUAUAGCAAUGAUAAUAACAUGUAACUCUUAACAUUUAUGAAUAACAUUAUUAGGCAUUUUUCAUUCUAAUCAUACAAUUGAAAAUAUUACACAUAAAUAAAAAAUAAAAUAAGCACCAUACUGAAACCACAAUUUUUCUAUUUCUAUUGGUAUUAUAAUAGUGGUUCUCAACCUUUUCUGCUUACAAACAGGUAAAAUUUAAAACAAACUUUGCGGACCAACGGGCCUUCAAAAUUCAACUCAAAAUGUAAAUACGACAAAAUUAGCAAAGAAUUACGACAAACGACAAAAGUAUGCGAUUACGACAAAAGUGUGCAAAGAAAAAGACUUCAAUUUAAUGAGAAAUUUGAAGCUUUCUUUUUAAAACAUCUUGCACUUUGCAAUUGGGUAUAAAAUUAAUAUAUUUGGCGAACCGACUGAAAAGUCGCUGUAUUAGAACAAGCAGCAAUAAAAAACAUUUUACAGAACCAGAGUCGUGGCACACUGGUAAGGACGUCUGCCUCUAACCCAGGGAUAUUGGAUUAAAGCCAACGCAUUGUGGGCUUUUUUUUGGGCAAGACAGUGGCUCCUUACGGCUUGCGAAAUUAUCAACCAUAUGUACAUAUA